Bubalus bubalis (water buffalo) is the source of this 1719-nucleotide long non-coding RNA. RefSeq lists it as uncharacterized. The transcript is spliced from 3 exons. Lineage: Eukaryota; Metazoa; Chordata; Mammalia; Artiodactyla; Bovidae. The record is from RefSeq and is a predicted model, not a curated record.
UUUAGCAUUUAAAGCCCUCAUACACUGACCCCCCUUGUUACUCUUCCAGCUUUGUCCCCUGCUAUUCCCUAGUGACAUGCAUGAGUUGACAUGUGGCUCUCUGCAUUUGUCUGCGACACUCUUCUUAGGAGCAGCGAGUGAUGCAGUUAGGCCCCAGCUGUUUGGAUCAAAGAGGAAGGGCCUGGGGCAGAAGGAAACCUCAGACAUGUAUACUUCUGCUGGAGAUGGAGGGGGCGGGGAAUAACACUAUCGCAGUUAAUUUUUCAAAAACAGUAUCUUCCACCCAGUCAAAUAAAGAGGUGUAUGCUACCGAAGAACUGUUUGAAUUGUCUUAUGUUUAAAGACUGGAGAAAAAAGGCUUCAAACGAAAAACAGAUUUGGAUAAGAUCUUAUUCUCUGAGGGGCUGCUAUGGUAAGACCUCAAGGUGUUUUUAUAGGUCCCUCUCAUGAGACCAGGAAGAAGAUUAGAGUUUUUUCCUCUCGCAAGACUCAAAGCUUCAGAGAGAAUGGAGGCCAGUUGAACCUUAAUAAACACUCUUCAGAGAAAAAAAGGGAGAAGGAGUUGAAGGCCAGUUGAUGAAUCAUAACUAAUUAAGUUGUUUUGUCUUCCCUGACUCUCUGGCUUUAUUAAAUAAACAUAGAUGAUCUUAAUAAAAUAAGUUUUGGCUAACUUUAUGGUGUCCUGUUACCAGCGCUAGAGCCAGGAGACCUGGCUUCUAAUUUCAAGUAUAUCUCUAACUAGCUGUGUGAUCUUGGGCAGUCCUGACCCCUCUCUGAGGUUUGGCUCCACUAUGGACAUAACCAGAAGACUGAACUCAUUGGCACAACUCCCUAUAUACUCAAGUCUACAUGUCUUCAAUUUUAGGGAGCCACUGGUCAUGGCGGUGAAUUGGAUACCUACACCAGAGAAAGCCUGAGAGGCGUAAUCAAAUAAGGGAACCACUUGAACUGAACUCCCAGCAGGAGCAGGAGGGAGGCCUGGAGAGGUUACAGGUCAACUGCUCUGCUGGUGUGAACUGGGACAACUAUUGAGAGCCCACAUCUGCUGUGUCACCUUGAGACAAGGAACCUGUUCACACUGGAUGAGCCCAUGUCUAUGCAUGUCCUCUUUCAGAUGGCCCUGAAGGUGACACGGGCAGUGAGACUUUGAAGAUCACAUCAAAGCCAUCAAAGCACAAAAUGUUGGUGCCGGAUGGCCCUUUCAAGUUCACGGUCCACUCCAUCCCAAAGACAGAUGGGAAAACUGAAGCCCAUGCUAAGAGAAGUUCCUUCCCCAAGGCCACAGGCAGAAAUGUUUGCCCUCCUAGUACAACCAUUAUUCUGCUGUAUCAGUCUGCCAUUUAUGACAAAGUCCUCGUUAUAUGACAGAGAACUAUUUAUAAUGCUAGUAUUGAGGGAUAUGAUUAGCACAUUUGCUGUGGGUUGAUAUGUCAGAUUUGGCCUGUGAGCAGCUGUUACAUUUAGAGAAACACCUUUGAAUCCAGAAGUCAUCCAAACUCUGUGAUAAAAACAGUAGACCAUGUCACGCUAGGAUCCUACGUGAUUAUGGCUGAUUUGUCCUCCAAGUUGUUUAUUUAUCUCAUUGUUGGGCUUUUGGUUUAUUUCCUUGUCACUUUUUCUAUACAUUGGUUUGACAGCUGUGUAAUCAUAGAAUAUUGUAUCAUCUACUUUAUAUUUUGUUUUUUUUGGGUUUUUUUGAGUAAAACCUUCUUACUUUGG